CUUGUGGAGUUAAAUAACUCAUGUAUUGCCAACCUCAAAUUUAUUCUUCUCUGUUUUGAAGCCUUGUCGGGGCUCAAAAUUAACUUUUCUAAGAGUGAGGCUAUUAUCACUGGUGUUGACGAGGCCGAAGCGUUACGGGUUUCCCAGUUGCUCAAUUGCUCCUUGGGUGCUUUUCCCUUCAAAUAUUUAGGUCUCCCUAUCUCCCCGUGUCGGCUAUGUUCUAAGGAGUUUAAGCCAUUGGUGGCUAAAGUGGGGAACAGAGUUUUACCUUGGCAUGGCAGGUAUAACACUUCUGCUGGCAAAGUGGCCCUUACUAAUUCUUGUCUCUCUUCCCUACCGAUGUUCACCAUGGGCUUCUUUAGAUUAACUAAAGGUACCCAUGCGGGUUUCUACAAGCAUAGAGGGGCCUUCUUUUGGAACUCUGCUGAGAACAAGCGUAAAUACAUGCUAGUUAAAUGGGACAAUAUUUGCAAACCUAAAAGCCUUGGGGGGCUUGGGAUUGUCAAUACACAGGUGAUGAAUACGUGUCUCAUUGUGAAAUGGUGGUGGAGGAUCAUGACUGCCAAUCCUGGUUCUUUAUGGCUU
Molecule: ribosomal RNA, 585 nt
Filed under: Triticum aestivum (bread wheat)
Lineage: Eukaryota; Viridiplantae; Streptophyta; Magnoliopsida; Poales; Poaceae
Description: partial small subunit ribosomal RNA
Source: RNAcentral